RNAcentral lists this transfer RNA (68 nucleotides) under Eurysternus inflexus. Its description in RNAcentral is "partial tRNA-Ile". Lineage: Eukaryota; Metazoa; Arthropoda; Insecta; Coleoptera; Scarabaeidae. The record is from RNAcentral.
AAUAAAGUGUCUGAUAAAAAGAAUUAUCUUGAUAGGAUAGAAUAUGUAAAUUUAAAUUACCUUUAUUA